Long non-coding RNA from Alosa sapidissima (American shad), 983 nucleotides. RefSeq lists it as uncharacterized. The transcript has 3 exons. The record is from RefSeq and is a predicted model, not a curated record. NCBI's taxonomy places the organism in Eukaryota, Metazoa, Chordata, Actinopteri, Clupeiformes, Clupeidae.
UGUGUCGUUUUGCAUGUUGAUAUUUAUAGGUUAUAGGUUUUAGCUUUAUGCGUUUGCUGACUCGAUCAUGGGCCGAUGUCCGUCAUGUCUUCAAACUUAGAAGUCUAAGCUAAAUAGUCAUUGCAACAAUAAGUAUUUUCACCUUUGGUUACCAACCGAAAUAGCAUUUUUUACACGUUUCCUAAGCGUUGCUCUGUGUAUCGAAUCGUAACAGGAGAGGGAAAGGUUAGAACACCAUGUUCACCAAGUGCUCUGCGUGCCUGGCAAUUUCUCGUCUUACCACGAGAGGGCGGGUGACGACCACAUCGAUAGUGUCCUGUAUUGACGAGACAUGCGUUUCAUUAGUGAGAUGGCAAGGGCCACUGGCUGCAGCGUGCUCAAUGUAGGGCGGAGCUCGACGUGAGUAAGGGGCUUGUCGGGUUGGGCCUCCCCCUCCUGCAGCCAUAUGGGGUGCUUCUCUGUGCCACUGCCUGUGUGCUGACAGAGUGUGCUAGUCUGCUGCUGAAGCCUGCCUUCUCACGGCUCCCAUUCUGCCAGUCUGGUCUGCUCUGCUGUCAGCUCACAGAUCAGGAGGAACUGCCCACCAUACAUAGAACAGCAGUGAAGAAAUCUCAGCACGCUUGCACCGAUAUCGCCAGAGCCUCCCGAAGAACGCCAGCUGAAUGGUUUGCUUCACUCACCGUUUCUAUGUCAUCAUCCAAUCCGACUGUCUGUGGCUUUGUUGUCGCUCAGAUUUUGUUGGGCUCUUUAUUGUUUUUUUGUUUCGUUGAGUUUUAUUUUGUCAGGAUAUCUAAGUUCUCCUCGUGCCCAUUUUGGUCGGUGCGCUUCCUUUGUGUUAGGGAUGUGUUUUGGUGCUGCUGUCUCCAGGCUUGGUGCCAAGUCUGCCUAAUUAAGAUUAAGCAUAUGCAGAUCGGUCUUGUUUUGGCAAAUAGCAGCUGCAAAUACGUAUUUGUCUUGCGUGUGGUCUGUUGAUUGGCAAAAGG